AGUGAGCGCUGGCGGUAGGCCUAACACAUGCAAGUCGAACGGGAGCACAGUAAGAGCUUGCUCUUACGGGUGGCGAGUGGCGGACGGGUGAGGAAUACAUCGGAAUCUACUUUUUCGUGGGGGAUAAUGUAGGGAAACUUAAGCUAAUACCGCAUACGACCUACGGGUGAAAGCAGGGGAUCUUCGGGCCUUGGGCGAGUGAAUGAGCCGAUGUCGGAUUAGCUAGUUGGCGGGGUAAAGGCCCACCAAGGCGACGAUCCGUAGCUGGUCUGAGAGGGUGAUCAGCCACCCUGGAACUGAGACACGGUCCAGACUCCUACAGGAGGCAGCAGUGGGGAAUAUUGGACAAUGGGCGCAAGCCUGAUCCAGCCAUACCGCGUGGGUGAAGAAGGCCUUCUGGUUGUAAAGCCCUUUUGUUGGGAAAGAAAAGCAGCAGGUUAAUACCCCGCUGUUCUGACGGUACCCAAAGAAUAAGCACCGGUUAACUUCGUG
RNAcentral lists this ribosomal RNA (492 nucleotides) under uncultured bacterium. RNAcentral's name for it is "partial 16S ribosomal RNA". It matches the Rfam family "Bacterial small subunit ribosomal RNA", at positions 29 to 507 of the family's 1533-position model. The record is from RNAcentral.